CAUUCAAGUUUCUGACCUAUCAGCUUCCUAUUGUAGGGUAUUGGCUUACCAUGGCGAUGACGGGUAACAGCGAAUUUGGGUUCAGUUCUGGAGAGGGAGCCUGAGACACGGCUACCACAUCUAAGGAAAGGCGGCAGGCGCGUAACUUACCCAAUUCUGACACGGAGAGGUAGUGACAAGAAAUAACGAUACAGGGCAUUCAUGUCUUGUACUUGGGCUGAGUAGAAUGUAAACGACUCUAUGAGUAUCAAUUGGAGGGCAAGUCUGGUGCCAGCAGCCGCGGUAACUCCAGCUCCAAUAGCGUAUAUUGAAGUUGUUGCGGUUAAACAGCCCGUCGUUGGAUUUCUGUUGAGGUCGAACAGUGCCGCCCUAUGGGUGCGCAACUGGCUCGGCUUCGGCAUCUUCUUGGAGAGCGAAUCUGCACUUAACUGUGUGGAUCGUACUUCAAGUCAGUUACUUUGAGGAAUUGUGAGUGUUUCAAGCAGGCUUACGCCGUUGAAUCCGUUAGCAUAGAAUAAUAUAAUAGGACCUCGGUUCUAUUUUGUUGGUUUUGAGAGCUGGGGCAGCGAUUGAUAGGGGCGGAUGGGGGCGUCCGAACUUUACUGUCAGAGGUGAAACUCUUAGAUCGGUCAAAGGCGAACUACUGCGAACGCAUCCGCCAAGAAUGUUUUCUUUAAUCAAGAACGAAAGUUAGGUGAUCGACGACGAUCAGAUACCGUCCUAGUCUUAACCAUACACGUUACUGA
This 746-nucleotide ribosomal RNA is filed under the name uncultured eukaryote. RNAcentral's name for it is "SSU rRNA". It matches the Rfam family "Eukaryotic small subunit ribosomal RNA", at positions 296 to 1045 of the family's 1831-position model. The record is from RNAcentral.